CCUACGGGAGGCAGCAGUGGGGAAUAUUGCACAAUGGGCGAAAGCCUGAUGCAGCGACGCCGCGUGAGGGAUGACGGCCUUCGGGUUGUAAACCUCUUUCAGCAGGGAAGAAGCGAAAGUGACGGUACCUGCAGAAGAAGCACCGGCUAACUACGUGCCAGCAGCCGCGAUAAUACGUAGGGUGCGAGCGUUGUCCGGAAUUAUUGGGCGUAAAGAGCUUGUAGGCGGUAUGUCGCGUCUGCUGUGAAAAUCCGGGGCUCAACCCCGGACUUGCAGUGGGUACGGGCAGACUAGAGUGUGGUAGGGGAGACUGGAAUUCCUGGUGUAGCGGUGAAAUGCGCAGAUAUCAGGAGGAACACCGAUGGCGAAGGCAGGUCUCUGGGCCACUACUGACGCUGAGAAGCGAAAGCAUGGGGAGCGAACAGGAUUAGAUACCCUGGUAGUCCAUGCCGUAAACGUUGGGCGCUAGGUGUGGGACUCAUUCCACGAGUUCCGUGCCGCAGCUAACGCAUUAAGCGCCCCGCCUGGGGAGUACGGCCGCAAGGCUAAAACUCAAAGGAAUUGACGG
RNAcentral lists this ribosomal RNA (568 nucleotides) under uncultured bacterium. Its description in RNAcentral is "bacterial SSU rRNA". It matches the Rfam family "Bacterial small subunit ribosomal RNA", at positions 338 to 916 of the family's 1533-position model. The record is from RNAcentral.